Molecule: long non-coding RNA, 1022 nt
Organism: Pyrus x bretschneideri (Chinese white pear)
Lineage: Eukaryota; Viridiplantae; Streptophyta; Magnoliopsida; Rosales; Rosaceae
Exons: 3
Source: RefSeq, a predicted model, not a curated record
AUUUAGAGCUAAAACAAAGGUUUUAUGGGACUUGGAACGAUAAGGACAUUAUGGUAAUUUUACGUCAUGAGAGAUAUUUUUUCCGUUUUGUCUUUUCUUGCUUUGUUUGGUGUGCCAGUGGGGCCCACCCUCUUUUGGUGUCUCCCGACUCUCUCUUUUUCUUCCUUGUCUUUUCUCUGCUUUCACUCCUUGGUAAACUCUCCCACUUUCUUUGUCUUUUUCUCUCAUCUUUGCAACUCUCUCUCCGAGAUUGCACAACCAACAACGACAGUACUACCUCCACCACCAUUAGCCUCGCCAUUCCAUCGAGCACCAUCACCAUCUGUGGACCCUCCUUCCUCCCCUUCUCGCCUCUCUCUUGACAAUUAUUGUUCAUCAUUUUCUCCGACAAACCACAGCGAGUCAUCAUCGUCCCCAACGUAGGUAAGCUCCUAAAAUCUUCUAGAUCGUGUUUUAGUUUAGAUUAGAGUAGUUGGUAAAAUUUCCUAGAUUUAUGGAUUUUGAAACCAGGGCCGUUUGACCACUUUCAAACACCUUUUUUCGACCAACUCCGACCAUGUCACGGCCUCUAAUGGGUGCGUUGGUUGGUCGUGACCCUAUCCUCCCUAGUUCGAGUGGCUCCCAAGGAGUGGAAUAUUUAGAUAUUGGGGUCGAGGCGUGUCAUGUCAAGCUAGCUUUAAUGGAAUCAUCCAUCUUCUGCUACUACUAUCCACAAGGCCUAUUCGGUAAUGGAGGAAUUUUGGACUGCCAACCCUGUAGCACAUUCUCGGGUCUCUCAAGGCACGGUCGCUCUUUCAACUUAGAUCUUUCCUUCUAUUUCAGUGCUGAAAAUCAACUGUGAUGCCUCCUGGACCAAGCAAUCAGGUUCGACAGGUUUUGGAGUUGUUAUUAAGGAUACUUCUGGUUCUGUGAUGGCUAGGAAUUGUGGGACAUCUUCUUCUGCUCUUUAAGCUGAGGCUAAAGCUGGGGUUAUGGCUAUUCAGACGACUAUCCAUAAUAAUAUCACUAAUGUUAUUUUUGAA